UGACAAUGAAAGUUGUAAUUUUAAAGAGAGGGCAUGAACGUCAUUUGGAGGCACUUGGACGCCUUCGAUAAAGCCAUAGAUAUCAAACGUAGUAUUUUGAUGAAACAUGCCAUGCCUUACAAUAUCUGAACAUUGCCUACUCUAGUAGGGGGCCCACCCUUCCACUUACACGUGUCAACAAUUCAAACCAUCUAAAAUAUGACCCCUCUCCACAUUUUCUUAGUUGGCCAAUAGAUGCACUAGUUAUUCACUGUGUCACGCAUUAAUUUCCAACUUCAGUCAACUCCAUUGCCACUGAAUUGAACAGAUCCCGAAAGGAGAAAAGAAAUGAAGGUACGUACAGUUUCAAUUCAAUUAUAGGAUUUAAAACUCACAAGUAUUCUUUUUUCUUUCUUUAUUUUCCUUCUCCCCUCUAAUUCUUUGGAGUUCAUAUCUUUUUUUUUUUUAUUAACUAUGCUUUCUUUCUUGACGUAGAUCUUAAAUUGGGUGCACCGGAAAUUUUAUCAGAAAGGUGAUACUAGCUUUCUUCUUCAUUUAAAUUUACAAAAUAUUACACUUAAUUUUUUUUCCUUCAAGAAAGUAGUGUUUGUUCAAGAUUUUAUACUUCAUCUGAAAUCCGUC
This 621-nucleotide long non-coding RNA is filed under the name Nicotiana tabacum (common tobacco). RNAcentral describes it as "long non-coding RNA (NTAB_LNC016460)". Lineage: Eukaryota; Viridiplantae; Streptophyta; Magnoliopsida; Solanales; Solanaceae. The record is from RNAcentral.